This 253-nucleotide ribosomal RNA is filed under the name Blautia luti. RNAcentral's name for it is "partial 16S ribosomal RNA". It matches the Rfam family "Bacterial small subunit ribosomal RNA", at positions 524 to 776 of the family's 1533-position model. Lineage: Bacteria; Bacillati; Bacillota; Clostridia; Lachnospirales; Lachnospiraceae. The record is from RNAcentral.
UACGUAGGGGGCAAGCGUUAUCCGGAUUUACUGGGUGUAAAGGGAGCGUAGACGGAUGGACAAGUCUGAUGUGAAAGGCUAGGGCUCAACCCCGGGACUGCAUUGGAAACUGCCCGUCUUGAGUGCCGGAGAGGUAAGCGGAAUUCCUAGUGUAGCGGUGAAAUGCGUAGAUAUUAGGAGGAACACCAGUGGCGAAGGCGGCUUACUGGACGGUAACUGACGUUGAGGCUCGAAAGCGUGGGGAGCAAACAGG